GAUGAGCGCUGGCUACAGGCUUAACACAUGCAAGUCGAGGGGAAACGACGGGGAAGCUUGCUUCCCCGGGCGUCGACCGGCGCACGGGUGAGUAACGCGUAUCCAACCUGCCUCUGACUGAGGGAUAACCCGUCGAAAGUCGGCCUAAUACCUCAUGGCAUCGUCUGCGGGCAUCCAACGACGAUUAAAGAUUUCAUCGGUCAGGGAUGGGGAUGCGUCUGAUUAGCUUGUUGGCGGGGUAACGGCCCACCAAGGCUACGAUCAGUAGGGGUUCUGAGAGGAAGGUCCCCCACAUUGGAACUGAGACACGGUCCAAACUCCUACGGGAGGCAGCAGUGAGGAAUAUUGGUCAAUGGGCGGGAGCCUGAACCAGCCAAGUAGCGUGCAGGAUGACGGCCCUAUGGGUUGUAAACUGCUUUUAUGCGGGGAUAAAGUGAGGGACGUGUCCUUCAUUGCAGGUACCGCAUGAAUAAGAACCGGCUAAUUUCGUG
This 491-nucleotide ribosomal RNA is filed under the name uncultured bacterium. RNAcentral's name for it is "partial 16S ribosomal RNA". It matches the Rfam family "Bacterial small subunit ribosomal RNA", at positions 28 to 507 of the family's 1533-position model. The record is from RNAcentral.